This 909-nucleotide long non-coding RNA is filed under the name Brassica napus (rape). RNAcentral describes it as "long non-coding RNA (BNAP_LNC024702)". The record is from RNAcentral. Lineage: Eukaryota; Viridiplantae; Streptophyta; Magnoliopsida; Brassicales; Brassicaceae.
UCGAUCCGCGUCAGACCAUCGACUGCUUCUCUUCGUACGCGGGUGAGGGAACCCGCGUGAUCCAACACGCGUCAAGACGUCGAGGCUUCUCUUUCAUGCGAGCGGGUAGGCGAUCCCGCGUUGCUUCACCCCGCGUGACUCCAUCGUUUGCUUCUCUUCGUACGCGGGUAAGGGAACCCGCGUGAUCCAACCCGCGUCAAGACGUUGAGCAGCCCCAUUCUCAUGCGUGCGGGUGCGGUUUCCCGCGUGAUCUAAGCCGCGUUGGAGCUCUUCAUUGCUUCAUCUUGAUGAGUCGACGCGGGUUAGUGAACCCGCGUGGGUCAACCCGCGUUGCACUCAUCCCAAUUUGACCAAAUUUCAUCUUUCAUCCCUUUUUGAGCCACAAUGCUCCUAAACACCUCCAAUCACUCCAUAGGACACUCCAAUACCUGAUAAAGACAUAUGAAUGCAAUAUGGAUCCUAAAGAUGCUAAAUUCCUAAUCUAGAUGAUCAUUAUGUGCAAAAUAGAGACUUAAAACAAUGCAAAUAUGCAAGAUAUCAACUCCCCCAAACUUGUCAUUUACUUGUCCUCAAGUGAACUUGCAAGAACUCAUAGGGGAGAGAGGUUUGAAGGUGGGAACUCAUAGCCAAAAGAAACACUUCCUAGCACUCAACUUAACAUCCUAAAUAAACAUAGCAAAUAGCAUGAGUAACUCUCUUAUUAUACUCUAGCUUCUCUAGGCCUAUCCAUACUCUUAUACCUCUACACAAGUUGCAAUACUCAUCAACUAACAAGUUCCUUCAACCAGCUCUCACAUUGAUUCACACACACACACACAAGGUGAAUUCUCACAAAUGGGCACAUGAUCUCAAUCAUUUGGCUAGGUAAGCAAUAGUCUAAUAUGAAUGAAGAGAGGGAUUCAAAUGUUU